UACGAAGGGGGCGAGCGUUGUUCGGAUUUACUGGGCGUAAAGGGCGCGUAGGCGGCAUGACAAGUCACUUGUGAAAUCUCUGGGCUUAACCCAGAACGGCCAAGUGAUACUGCAGUGCUAGAGUGCAGAAAGGGCAAUCGGAAUUCUUGGUGUAGCGGUGAAAUGCGUAGAUAUCAAGAGGAACACCUGAGGCGAAGGCGGGUUGCUAGGCUGACACUGACGCUGAGGCGCGAAAGCCAGGGGAGCAAACGGG
This 253-nucleotide ribosomal RNA is filed under the name uncultured bacterium. Its description in RNAcentral is "partial 16S ribosomal RNA". It matches the Rfam family "Bacterial small subunit ribosomal RNA", at positions 524 to 776 of the family's 1533-position model. The record is from RNAcentral.